This 67-nucleotide transfer RNA is filed under the name Acaudina molpadioides. RNAcentral's name for it is "tRNA-Ala". It matches the Rfam family "tRNA". Rfam says of the family: Transfer RNA (tRNA) molecules are approximately 80 nucleotides in length. Their secondary structure includes four short double-helical elements and three loops (D, anti-codon, and T loops). The record is from RNAcentral. Lineage: Eukaryota; Metazoa; Echinodermata; Holothuroidea; Molpadida; Caudinidae.
GUGAUAUUAGUUUAAGAAAAACAUUUGCUUUGCAAGCAUAAGAACUAAAAUUUGUUUAGAUAUCACA